Anguilla anguilla (European eel) is the source of this 378-nucleotide long non-coding RNA. RefSeq lists it as uncharacterized. Lineage: Eukaryota; Metazoa; Chordata; Actinopteri; Anguilliformes; Anguillidae. The transcript is spliced from 3 exons. The record is from RefSeq and is a predicted model, not a curated record.
UCACAGGAGAGCUGCAGGACAAGGGACAGCGCUGGCCCCACUCACAGGAGAGCUGCAGGACCAGGGACAGCACCGGCCCCACUCACAGGACAGCUGCAGGAUCAGGGACAGCACCGGCCCCACUCACAGGAGAGCUGCAGGACCAGGGACAGCACCGGCCCCACUCAAAGUUCUAGCAGACUGGAGUCAAAGGCGGUAAACCAGAAGUUUCCCAGUGUCCAGUCUCACCCGUUUGCCUCCUGAGACAAUGUUUUCCCCCAGCACUGUGACACAGAGGUUCGGUUGACUGGGAUUGUCCCAUUGGCUGCAAAGCAUCACAAGUGUAUCACAAGAUGAAACAUAAUCAUGAUGGAGAACAUGUAUGACAUCAUUUUAGAA